Molecule: ribosomal RNA, 492 nt
Filed under: uncultured bacterium
Lineage: Bacteria
Description: bacterial SSU rRNA
Rfam family: Bacterial small subunit ribosomal RNA
Source: RNAcentral
ACUCAAAGGAAUAGACGGGGGCCCGCACAAGCAGUGGAUUAUGUGGUUUAAUUCGAAGCAACGCGAAGAACCUUACCAGGUCUUGACAUCGUGCGCAUAGGGUAGAGAUACCUGAAGCCCUUCGGGGCGCAUAGACAGGUGGUGCAUGGUUGUCGUCAGCUCGUGUCGUGAGAUGUUGGGUUAAGUCCCGCAACGAGCGCAACCCUUACGAUUAGUUGCUACGUUAAGAGCACUCUAAUAGGACUGCCGUUGACAAAACGGAGGAAGGCGGGGAUGACGUCAAAUCAUCAUGCCCCUUAUGACCUGGGCGACACACGUAAUACAAUGGCGGUCAACAGAGGGAAGCCAAGCCGCGAGGUGGAGCGAAUCCUCAAAAGCCGUCUCAGUUCGGAUUGCAGGCUGCAACCCGCCUGCAUGAAGUCGGAAUUGCUAGUAAUCGCGGAUCAGCAUGCCGCGGUGAAUACGUUCCCGGGCCUUGUACACACCGCCCGU